ACUGGGCGUAAAGGGCACGCAGGCGGUGACUUAAGUGAGAUGUGAAAGCCCCGAGCUUAACUUGGGAAUUGCAUUUCAUACUGGGUCGCUAGAGUACUUUAGGGAGGGGUAGAAUUCCACGUGUAGCGGUGAAAUGCGUAGAGAUGUGGAGGAAUACCGAAGGCGAAGGCAGCCCCUUGGGAAUGUACUGAUGCUCAUGUGCGAAAGCGUGGGGAGCAAACAGGAUUAGAUACCCUGGUAGUCCACGCUGUAAACGAUGUCGAUUUGGGGAUUGGGCUUUGAGCUUGGUGCCCGUAGCUAACGUGAUAAAUCGACCGCCUGGGGAGUACGGCCGCAAGGUUAAAACUCAAAUGAAUUGACGGGGGCCCGCACAAGCGGUGGAGCAUGUGGUUUAAUUCGAUGCAACGCGAAGAACCUUACCUACUCUUGGCAUCCAGAGAACUUUCCAGAGAUGGAUUGGUGCCUUCGGGAACUCUGAGACAGGUGCUGCAAGGCUGUCGUCAGCUCGUGUCGUGAG
RNAcentral lists this ribosomal RNA (517 nucleotides) under uncultured bacterium. RNAcentral's name for it is "bacterial SSU rRNA". It matches the Rfam family "Bacterial small subunit ribosomal RNA", at positions 553 to 1071 of the family's 1533-position model. The record is from RNAcentral.